Molecule: ribosomal RNA, 627 nt
Filed under: Vanrija albida
Lineage: Eukaryota; Fungi; Basidiomycota; Tremellomycetes; Trichosporonales; Trichosporonaceae
Description: LSU rRNA
Rfam family: Eukaryotic large subunit ribosomal RNA
Source: RNAcentral
UUAAGCAUAUCAAUAAGCGGAGGAAAAGAAACUAACAAGGAUUCCCCUAGUAGCGGCGAGUGAAGCGGGAAGAGCUCAAAUUUGUAAUCUGGCGUCUUUCAGGCGUCCGAGUUGUAAUCUAUAGAAGUGUUUUCCGUGCUGGACCAUGUCCAAGUCCCUUGGAACAGGGUAUCAAAGAGGGUGACAAUCCCGUACUUGAUAUGGCCACCAGUGCUCUGUGAUACACUUUCUACGAGUCGAGUUGUUUGGGAAUGCAGCUCAAAAUGGGUGGUAAAUUCCAUCUAAAGCUAAAUAUUGGCGAGAGACCGAUAGCGAACAAGUACCGUGAGGGAAAGAUGAAAAGCACUUUGGAAAGAGAGUUAAACAGUACGUGAAAUUGUUGAAAGGGAAACGAUUGAAGUCAGUCGUGUUCAUUGGACUCAGCCGGUUCUUCCGGUCUAUUUCCUUUGAACGGGUCAACAUCAGUUUUGUCCGGUGGAUAAAGGCAGAGAGAAAGUGGCUCCCUCGGGAGUGUUAUAGCUUUUUGUCACAUACACUGGAGGAGACUGAGGACUGCAGCUCGCCUUUUGGCCGGGGUUCGCCCACGUUCGAGCUUAGGAUGUUGACAUAAUGGCUUUAAACGACCCG